UACCAAAGGAUAAUAGUAUUCCACUGGUNUUAGGC
Molecule: transfer RNA, 35 nt
Filed under: Contia tenuis
Lineage: Eukaryota; Metazoa; Chordata; Lepidosauria; Squamata; Dipsadidae
Description: partial tRNA-Leu
Source: RNAcentral